GGAUAUGAGGACGAUCUGGCGGUGACACCUGUCACCCCAUUGAUCACCAGGAUGGAUUCGGCUCAUCUAGCUGGCUAGGUGGGUGUCCCUUUCCUCCCUGCUCUGUGUGCGUCCCUCCCAAAGCUUCAUGCUCGGUGGAAGAGAAUGGCCUUCCCUGAAUAGAGACAGACAGACCAGUCUUCAGUCGAGGGUACACGAGUAGCUGUGCUCCCUUGCUAGAACCUCCGAACAAGCUUUCUAAACACACACACACACCCCGGCUCCAAAGUUAGAGCCUCCCCCAAAUUAAAUCGUCACUGAAGUU
Molecule: unclassified non-coding RNA, 304 nt
Organism: Erinaceus europaeus (western European hedgehog)
Lineage: Eukaryota; Metazoa; Chordata; Mammalia; Eulipotyphla; Erinaceidae
Gene: 7SK
Rfam family: 7SK RNA
About the family: 7SK was discovered as an abundant small nuclear RNA in the mid-70s but a possible function has only recently been suggested.
Source: Ensembl